RNAcentral lists this ribosomal RNA (519 nucleotides) under uncultured bacterium. RNAcentral's name for it is "partial 16S ribosomal RNA". It matches the Rfam family "Bacterial small subunit ribosomal RNA", at positions 28 to 507 of the family's 1533-position model. The record is from RNAcentral.
GACGAACGCUGGCGGCGUGCCUAAUACAUGCAAGUCGAGCGAGUCUGCCUUGAAGAUCGGAGUGCUUGCACUCUGUGAAACAAGAUACAGGCUAGCGGCGGACGGGUGAGUAACACGUGGGUAACCUGCCCAAGAGAUCGGGAUAACACCUGGAAACAGAUGCUAAUACCGGAUAACAACAGAUGAUGCCUAUCAACUGUUUAAAAGAUGGUUCUGCUAUCACUCUUGGAUGGACCUGCGGUGCAUUAGCUAGUUGGUAGGGUAACGGCCUACCAAGGCGAUGAUGCAUAGCCGAGUUGAGAGACUGAUCGGCCACAUUGGGACUGAGACACGGCCCAAACUCCUACGGGAGGCAGCAGUAGGGAAUCUUUCACAAUGGACGCAAGUCUGAUGGAGCAACGCCGCGUGAGUGAAGAAGGGUUUCGGCUCGUAAAGCUCUGUUGUUGGUGAAGAAGGACAGGGGUAGUAACUGACCUUUGUUUGACGGUAAUCAAUUAGAAAGUCACGGCUAACUAAGUG